ACUUGCACUGAUUCUUGAAUGACACGACAUUGCUCACAUUGCUUCCAGUGUAAUUUAGCUUUACGGCAAAGUGAUAUUUUU
RNAcentral lists this non-coding RNA (81 nucleotides) under Vibrio nigripulchritudo. RNAcentral also lists the same sequence under 14 other names. Lineage: Bacteria; Pseudomonadati; Pseudomonadota; Gammaproteobacteria; Vibrionales; Vibrionaceae. The record is from RNAcentral.